Long non-coding RNA from Nematolebias whitei (Rio pearlfish), 344 nucleotides. RefSeq lists it as uncharacterized. The transcript has 3 exons. Lineage: Eukaryota; Metazoa; Chordata; Actinopteri; Cyprinodontiformes; Rivulidae. The record is from RefSeq and is a predicted model, not a curated record.
ACAUCUGGUUCUGUGAGGUCCAGUCACCGACACAGCUGCAGGUCAUGUUACCGUUCACCUGGACAGGUGAUGUUCAUGCAUGUACCGGGUCAUGCAGGAUACUGAACAGGAGGCCGUUCUGACUCGAUCUCUGCAGCGAGUCUUCACCCGCCAACCCGUUCCUCUGAUGGCAGCGGAGACGACACGCAGAUAAACUGCUUCCUGUUCCCAGUCUGAGCCGAAGGACUUGGCUGUUUGGUCCCAGUUCCUCAGUACCAAUCUGCAGUCCGAGUUCAGUUGUUGUCCGGCUUCUUUUUCCUUCAGUUUCACUCGUCGUCCUGUGUUCAGCAGGGUUUUACCUUUGA